This 306-nucleotide long non-coding RNA is filed under the name Musa acuminata (dwarf banana). RNAcentral's name for it is "long non-coding RNA (MACU_LNC004915)". The record is from RNAcentral. Lineage: Eukaryota; Viridiplantae; Streptophyta; Magnoliopsida; Zingiberales; Musaceae.
AGGUAUGAAGCCACUGAUCUUCGUGAAGAACCAUGUCGAAGUGCUGGAUCAUGGGAGCCACACCUUGAAGUACAAGACCGUCGAGGGAGGCCACCUCGGCCACACGCUCAAGUCGCACACCAUCGAGCACAAGUACGACGCCUUGAGCGCCGACACCUGCUCUCUGAAGAUCAAGGUGGAGUAUGAUACCAUCGACGACAAGGGGCUCCCCGAGGAGGAGGUGAACAAGAUCAAGGAGGGGUCGGUAUGGGUCGCCAAGGCUGUGGAAGGUUACCUGACCACCAACCCCGCUGCUUAUGCCUAAGC